Molecule: long non-coding RNA, 376 nt
Filed under: Vulpes vulpes (red fox)
Lineage: Eukaryota; Metazoa; Chordata; Mammalia; Carnivora; Canidae
Description: lncRNA (ENSVVUG00000001183.1)
Source: RNAcentral
GGGAAAGCGACUAGUCUUUUUUUGUUGGAUUUCGAGGAAGAGGUCCCGGGAGCUGCUGAAAGNCGCUGGACCAAUCAGAGUAAAGAUCAAGACUUUGGCUGGGACUAGUCUUUUUUUGUUGGAUUUCGAGGAAGAGGUCCCGGGAGCUGCUGAAAGCAACUUUGUAUCCAGGAGUGGCCUGAUCCUGCAUGUGUUCAUACCCAGGCGGACUGGUCAUGGGAAGAACCAUGAAGAAGGGAACUUGACGUCAAGAGGGCCGAUCAGGAGCAGAUGUCAGAAGAUCCAUGCCCUUUUUUGGUGCAAAGAAACCAUGAUGCAUCAAAAAGAGGCUGGAGAGAAUAAAGAACAGAAAGCAGCUGCCUUCGGGAACACCUAG